RNAcentral lists this ribosomal RNA (546 nucleotides) under Enterobacter roggenkampii. RNAcentral's name for it is "partial 23S ribosomal RNA". It matches the Rfam family "Bacterial large subunit ribosomal RNA", at positions 1 to 587 of the family's 2925-position model. The record is from RNAcentral. Lineage: Bacteria; Pseudomonadati; Pseudomonadota; Gammaproteobacteria; Enterobacterales; Enterobacteriaceae.
GGUUAAGCGACUAAGCGUACACGGUGGAUGCCCUGGCAGUCAGAGGCGAUGAAGGACGUGCUAAUCUGCGAAAAGCGCCGGCGAGGUGAUAUGAACCUUUGACCCGGCGAUGUCCGAAUGGGGAAACCCAGUGUGAUUCGUCACACUAUCGUUAACUGAAUACAUAGGUUAACGAGGCGAACCGGGGGAACUGAAACAUCUAAGUACCCCGAGGAAAAGAAAUCAACCGAGAUUCCCCCAGUAGCGGCGAGCGAACGGGGAGCAGCCCAGAGUCUGAAUCAGCUUGUGUGUUAGUGGAAGCGUCUGGAAAGUCGCACGGUACAGGGUGACAGUCCCGUACACGAAAAUGCACAGGUUGUGAACUCGAAGAGUAGGGCGGGACACGUGGUAUCCUGUCUGAAUAUGGGGGGACCAUCCUCCAAGGCUAAAUACUCCUGACUGACCGAUAGUGAACCAGUACCGUGAGGGAAAGGCGAAAAGAACCCCGGCGAGGGGAGUGAAAAAGAACCUGAAACCGUGUACGUACAAGCAGUGGGAGCACCUUCG